UUUCUUUUAAAGCUUAUUUUGAAGACAUCACCCAAGGAGAUACACAAGCACAUGAAAAGACACUCAGCAACUUAGUCAUGAGGAAAUGCAACUUAAAAGCAUAUAAUAAGAUACUGUGAUGCACUGAUGACAACGACUAAAAUUAAAAAGAUGGACAAGAGUGUUUCAUACGGAGGAAGAAAUGUGCAUACAUUCAGCCUCACAGGCAGGAGAGGGCUGGGAUGGGGACUUCCUGGGGCUAGAACUCCGGGUAUGGGGGCAAUAGACUGAGAGAGAAAACUACAAUCUUAUCUCUAGAUCUAAUUGGCUUGUUUUUGUGACUCCUGAACAGAGGCACGCGCAGCUGUUCUACAGAACAGACCAAGAGCUCCCACUGGGCAGUUACAGAACAGUGGACUUGGGAGGUGGGGACAAGGGAAUAGAGCGAUAGAAAACCCUGCCUGCUUUGCAUCAGGUUGCGUAUUUGUGUAGAGCGAGCAGAGGGCACUUCCUCAUCAUGCCUGUGUAGAGAUUUAGCUAGUUGAUUUUUGAAAAUUUAUUAUGAUUGAUUGUUUUGAUUUGUUGAGACAAGGUCUCGCUAUGUAGCCCAGGCUGGCCUUGAACUUGCGAUCUUUCUGCCUCGGCCUCCCACGUGUGGCCAUUGUGAGGCAUGAGGACACAUGCCUGGCUUGAGACUUAGCCAUUACUUCUCUGUAUCCCGACAAGCACCUUGGUUUCUGGGUGCUGAUGUGGAACCCCAGCAGGAGACCCUCUGUUGAGGUUUGGUCCCCUGGCCCAGUGGAGGCACUCAGGCAGACCAAUGGCCCCUCGCAUUUUAUCUAAGACGCGGUUAUUCUGUGUGCAUUUUGUUUUUCUUUUUGAAACAAGGUCUUGCUAUGCAGUCCAGGCUAGCCUUAACUCACUGUGUAGCCCAGGCUGGCCUCAAACUCACAGUGAUCCUCCUGCCUCAGCCUUGAGAGUGCUGGGAUUAAAGGUGUGCACCACCAGGCCCGGCCUCUGUGUGCAUUUUGCUACCCGGGAAAUGAGCAGAGAAGGAGACAGGUGGGCAGGAAUGCAGGUGUCCCUGUCUGGAAGGGGUCUCUUCCUCUGUCGCUUCCUUCCCUCUUCUCAACACCCUGGAGAGUCAGGAAACUUGACCCCAGCUUUGCAGAGGGGACAGGAGGCUCUGAGCACCCAGCUGGUAGAUGAACUGGGCCGUUGGGGCUAGGGGUCCUGUGUCCAAAGUCUGCCAGAGCAUAGCUCCAGUGGAAACAAAGGCCAUCCCGAAGAGCUCUUUCUCUCCACAGCUGGAUUUCUCACCCUUGCUCUGGUCUGUCCCGAGACUGGCUUCUCUUGUGAGGACGCGGGGUGCCCAGAGGGUGAACCAGGUUGUGGCAGCCCCGGGGGGUCAGGAAAGGAAGGUGUCCUAAGGCAGAGGCAGAUUUAACCACAGAACAGAAGAGGAAGAGCCCUGGGCCGGUCCCCAGCUGCAGAGGGGCUGAUUACCCACCACCCCGCUCCUCCUUAUGUAGGAAAGAGAAUAGACAGGUCAGGGAAGCUCGGUGAUCAGCAGGAGAACGUGGUGGGCUUGGAGAAAGUACAGCAGCCUGGAACAAAGCCCACGGAGUGCAGAACAGAUAAUGGAUUGUAAAUAAUUCUCCAUGGGAUCAAGAUAGAGGACGGUGGUGGGUGACAAAGCCAGGGCAUGGACAGGCUUCCGCCUUUCUCCCCAGGAUGCAGAGAACGCAGGCUUGCAUGGUUAAGACCAGAGGUGACUGUGUUCCCUUCCCAUCCGACCCAGGCAGGCGGGAGCAGGCGGGACAGCAUGGGCGGGAGGACUGGAGGCUGAGCGGAGUCCAAGGCCACUGUGUGUGUCGGGCCCCGGGUCCCAUCCCCAGCACGGAAAGCCCCAGUUGUGGGGUUGUCAUGGGCCCCAGCAGCCCUGAGAACGUGAAGGGAGAGUAGGCGCUAACGGAGGAGCCAAGCUGGGAAGGGCGAGAAGAGGGCAGCCCUGAGUGCGACCAGGCACAGCACGGAGAGCGGAAGAGCUGAGCUCCAGCGUCCCCGGCGUCCGCGUGAGCUGCAGAGAGGCAGCAGUGCGGGGAGGGAGUCCAGGAGGGCGAGCUCCGUGUGUUUCACGGUGAGACCCUGCCUGCCAGGCGUCUGCUUGCUGCGGUUACCACGGAAACGCCAGACUCGCUCCAGCCCCUCUUGUUAAAGAGGAUGAGACUUCGGGUCAGAGAGCUGAAGAGACUCCUGUCUUUCCUGUGGGCAUCCUGGAAAAAUAUUAUAGUCUAGGCAUGGAGGUAAUCUGACAACGGGGACCUGCAAGAACUUCCAGGGCCAGCUCCUUCUGAAGAGGGAACAGCCAGCAAGGGCGUCUUCCCCAGAAAGACUUCUGCCAUUCGCCCGGCCCAGUGCUGUUGAGAGAGUCGAGGUUGGUGACUACUGUAUUAUUGCAUCUCUCAGGAAAGCCAAGGAGCAGUGCGGGCUGCUUCAUCUUCCUCACGCUGGCUAAUGUGCUCCUCAGAGAGACAUUCAAGCUACAAGGGAGCCCAGUUCUCAUGCGAAAGUCAUUUUAUAGUGCUAGUGUCAUGUUGGUGGAUUUAGUAUGUUCUUCAUAGAGGCGGCUCGGCCAGUGAAUUUUACAUUGAAGACUCCGCUUAUACUUCCUCUCGUGAUGACAGAGAGCUGGACCGGGGCUUUGGAGCCCUUUGUUAGCACAGUAGACAUUAGCUUUCUGUGCGAGAUUUUAGUUUUAGCAGUUGACAGGCCCGUAUGCAAUCCUAAUGUGAACACCAUAAGAGUAAGUGGAGGCUGGAGAAAUGUGUUAGUUGAUUACAUCCGAAAUGGAUUAUUUGUCUCAUCAGCAAGUAUUAUUUGAAUAAAAUACAAGAUGCUUAAGAUAAAAUACUGCUCUAUAAUAGUUUGCUUUCAAAGAUCGGAGAGGUGACUCUCACCAUUCCUUUGAG
Heterocephalus glaber (naked mole-rat) is the source of this 2951-nucleotide long non-coding RNA. RefSeq lists it as uncharacterized. The record is from RefSeq and is a predicted model, not a curated record. NCBI's taxonomy places the organism in Eukaryota, Metazoa, Chordata, Mammalia, Rodentia, Bathyergidae.